Molecule: ribosomal RNA, 253 nt
Filed under: uncultured bacterium
Lineage: Bacteria
Description: partial 16S ribosomal RNA
Rfam family: Bacterial small subunit ribosomal RNA
Source: RNAcentral
UACGUAGGGUGCAAGCGUUAAUCGGAAUUACUGGGCGUAAAGCGUGCACAGGCGGUUGUGCAAGACCGAUGUGAAAUCCCCGGGCUUAACCUGGGAAUUGCAUUUGUGACUGCACGGCUAGAGUGUGUCAGAGGGGGGUAGAAUUCCACGUGUAGCAGUGAAAUGCGUAGAUAUGUGGAGGAAUACCGAUGGCGAAGGCAGCCCCCUGGGAUAACACUGACGCUCAUGCACGAAAGCGUGGGGAGCAAACAGG